AUUGAACGCUGGCGGCAUGCCUUACACAUGCAAGUCGAACGGUAACGCGGGGCAACCUGGCGACGAGUGGCGAACGGGUGAGUGAUGUCUCGGAGCGUGCCCAAUAGUGGGGGAUAGCCCGGCGAAAGCCGGAUUAAUACCGCAUGAGACCUGAGGGUGAAAGCGGAGGAUCGCAAGACCUCGCGCUGUUGGAGCGGCCGAUAUCAGAUUAGGUAGUUGGUGGGGUAAAGGCCUACCAAGCCUGCGAUCGGUAGCUGGUCUGAGAGGAUGACCAGCCACACUGGGACUGAGACACGGCCCAGACUCCUACGGGAGGCAGCAGUGGGGAAUUUUGGACAAUGGGCGCAAGCCUGAUCCAGCCAUGCCGCGUGCGGGAAGAAGGCCUUCGGGUUGUAAACCGCUUUUGUCAGGGAAGAAAGCUUCUGGGUUAGUACCUCGGGAGGAUGACGGUACCUGAAGAAUAAGCACCGGCUAACUACGUGCCAGCCGCCGCAGUAA
This 498-nucleotide ribosomal RNA is filed under the name uncultured bacterium. RNAcentral describes it as "partial 16S ribosomal RNA". It matches the Rfam family "Bacterial small subunit ribosomal RNA", at positions 29 to 523 of the family's 1533-position model. The record is from RNAcentral.